CCACUGGUGAUGAGUCCCAAAAUAGGACGAAACGGCCGUCCAGUGC
This 46-nucleotide non-coding RNA is filed under the name Schistosoma mattheei. The record is from RNAcentral. Lineage: Eukaryota; Metazoa; Platyhelminthes; Trematoda; Strigeidida; Schistosomatidae.